AUUGAACGCUGGCGGAAUGCUUUACACAUGCAAGUCGAACGGCCUCUCGGACUUCGGUCUGGUGGCGAGUGGCGAACGGGUGAGUAAUGUAUCGGAACGUGCCCAGUCGUGGGGGAUAACGUAGUGAAAAUUACGCUAAUACCGCAUACGAUCUAUGGAUGAAAGCGGGGGAUCGCAAGACCUCGCGCGAUUGGAGCGGCCGAUAUCAGAUUAGGUAGUUGGUGGGGUAAAGGCCCACCAAGCCAACGAUCUGUAGCUGGUCUGAGAGGACGAGCAGCCACACUGGAACUGAGACACGGUCCAGACUCCUACGGGAGGAAGCAGUGGGGAAUUUUGGUAAAUGGGCGAAAGCCUGAUCCAGCCAUUCCGCGUGCAGGAUGAAGGCCCUCGGGUUGUAAACUGCUUUUGUACAGAACGAAAAGGUUUCUACUAAUACUAGGAGCUCAUGACGGUACUGUAAGAAUAAGCACCGGCUAACUACGUGCCAGCAGCCGCCGUAA
RNAcentral lists this ribosomal RNA (500 nucleotides) under uncultured bacterium. Its description in RNAcentral is "partial 16S ribosomal RNA". It matches the Rfam family "Bacterial small subunit ribosomal RNA", at positions 30 to 523 of the family's 1533-position model. The record is from RNAcentral.